RNAcentral lists this transfer RNA (68 nucleotides) under Embiophila sp. RNAcentral describes it as "tRNA-Val". Lineage: Eukaryota; Metazoa; Arthropoda; Insecta; Hemiptera; Plokiophilidae. The record is from RNAcentral.
AAAGCUAUAACUAUAUAAGUAUUAUUAUUUACAAUAAUAACAAGGUAGUGUAAAUCUAUCUAGCUUUA